RNAcentral lists this unclassified non-coding RNA (391 nucleotides) under soil metagenome. Its description in RNAcentral is "partial contains 5.8S ribosomal RNA, internal transcribed spacer 2, and large subunit ribosomal RNA". The stretch from base 1 to 122 matches the Rfam family "5.8S ribosomal RNA", at positions 35 to 154 of the family's 154-position model. The record is from RNAcentral.
GAUGAAGAACGUAGCGAAAUGCGAUACUUUGUGUGAAUUGCAGAAUCCCGUGAACCAUCGAGUGUUUGAACGCAAGUUGCGCCCGAAGCCAUUAGGCCGAGGGCACGCCUGCCUGGGCGUCACACGUCGUUGCCCCCCCAUCUACUCCUUCGGGAUUGCGGGGGGCGGAUGAUGGCCUCCCGUGCGCCUCGUCGCGCGGUUGGCAUAAAUGCCAAGUCCUCGGCGACGCACGCCACGACAAUCGGUGGUUGCGAAACCUCGGUUGCCCGUCGUGUGCGGUCGUCGCGCAUCGAGGGCUCGAAAAAAUUGCCGGGCUCCGGCUCGGCUUUCAACGCGACCCCAGGUCAGGCGGGGUUACCCGCUGAAUUUAAGCAUAUCAAUAAGCGGAGGA